GUGUUUGUGCGAGUGCAAACAUGGGGAGGAUGUAGUAACAGUGUGGUGUCAACAGUGUUUAUAGGACCUUGACAUGUGUGUAACUUUCCCUUAGCACUUCCUCAUGCUGAAACAUUUCCCAAAGAAUCGUUGUGGGAAGUUUUGCUGUGGGAAAAGGAUGGCUCGCGGGACACGUACGUCCCCCCACACCCCCUCCUUUGUUUUUGAAUCAGAAAUUGAAUGAACAUUGUGCUGCAGCUUGCCUGGACGCCUCAGUUUAUCUCAGAUCCACACAGAGGAUAAAGAAUACAUGACUGACUAUUCUUCAUCUCCUCCUCCUCCUCAUCCUCCUCACAAUUGAGUGCGGUCAGCAAAGGUCAUCCUGGGCCGUGCACAAUGUGCAUCCACUGGUGCUUCCAUUGUUAAAAGAAAAUGGGGAGCCCUGGGGUGACUCCCUGUCUCCACCGGUUUCAUGCGAGUGAGCCAGUCAACUUGCUGGAGAGGAGCUGCAAUCAUCUUGUAGAAGGAAGG
Long non-coding RNA from Syngnathus acus (greater pipefish), 510 nucleotides. RefSeq lists it as uncharacterized. The record is from RefSeq and is a predicted model, not a curated record. The transcript has 5 exons. NCBI's taxonomy places the organism in Eukaryota, Metazoa, Chordata, Actinopteri, Syngnathiformes, Syngnathidae.